Molecule: ribosomal RNA, 593 nt
Filed under: uncultured crenarchaeote
Lineage: Archaea; Thermoproteati; Thermoproteota
Description: bacterial SSU rRNA
Rfam family: Archaeal small subunit ribosomal RNA
Source: RNAcentral
GAUCUAAUCGUUGGCCUGCGGGGGAUACUGCCCAGCUAGGAGACGGGAGAGGCCGACGGUAUCUCGGGGUAGGGGUGAAAUCCUAUAAUCCCGGGAAGACCACCAGUGGCGAAGGCUGUCGGCUAGAACGCGCUCGACGGUGAGGGAUGAAAGCUGGGGGAGCGAACCGGAUUAGAUACCCGGGUAGUCCCAGCUGUAAACGAUACAGGCUAGGUGUUAGGGCGGCUACGCGCCGCUCUAGUGCCGCAGGGAAGCUGUUUAGCCUGUCGCCUGGGGAGUACGGCUGCAAGGCUGAAACUUAAAGGAAUUGGCGGGGGAGCACCACAAGGGGUGAAGCUUGCGGUUUAAUUGGAGUCAACGCCGGAAAUCUCACCGGGGGCGACAGCAGGAUGAAAGCCAGAUUAAAGGUCUUGCCAGACGAGCUGAGAGGAGGUGCAUGGCCGUCGCCAGUUCGUGCCGUGAGGUGUCCUGUUAAGUCAGGCAACGAUCGAGACCCGCAUCCCCCCGUUGCUAUUGGCCUUGAGUCAAGCACACUGGGGAGACUGCCGCCGAUAAGGUGGAGGAAGGAGCGGGGCACGGCAGGUCAGUAUGCC